This 1504-nucleotide ribosomal RNA is filed under the name metagenome. RNAcentral's name for it is "bacterial SSU rRNA". It matches the Rfam family "Bacterial small subunit ribosomal RNA". The record is from RNAcentral.
AGAGUUUGAUCCUGGCUCAGGACGAACGCUGGCGGCGUGCCUAACACAUGCAAGUCGAGCGGAGGUACAAUGAGAGCAAUCGAGAUGUACUUUAGCGGCGGACGGGUGAGUAACGCGUGAGCAACCUGCCUAUCACAGGGGGAUAAGGCGGCGAAAGCCGCUCUAAUACCGCAUGAGACCCUCAAAGCGAUGCAAUGGGGGUGAAAGGAGCGAUCCGGUGAGAGAUGGGCUCGCGUCCGAUUAGGUAGUUGGUAGGGUAAGGGCCUACCAAGCCAAUGAUCGGUAGUCGGCCUGAGAGGGUGAACGGCCACAUUGGAACUGAGAGACGGUCCAAACUCCUACGGGAGGCAGCAGUGGGGAAUAUUGGGCAAUGGGCGGAAGCCUGACCCAGCAACGCCGCGUGAGGGAAGAAGGUUUUCGGAUUGUAAACCUCUGUUCUUGGGGAAGAGGAAGAGACGGUACCCAAGGAGGAAGCCCCGGCUAACUACGUGCCAGCAGCCGCGGUAAUACGUAGGGGGCGAGCGUUGUCCGGAAUGAUUGGGCGUAAAGGGCGCGCAGGCGGCCUGUCAAGUCAGUAGUGGAAGUCCAUUUUUCAAGGAUGGAAGUGCUAUAGAAACUGAUGGGCUUGAGUGCAGGAGAGGUUAUCGGAAUUCCCGGUGUAGCGGUGAAAUGCGUAGAGAUCGGGAGGAACACCAGUGGCGAAGGCGGGUAACUGGACUGCAACUGACGCUGAGGCGCGAAAGUGUGGGGAGCAAACAGGAUUAGAUACCCUGGUAGUCCACACUGUAAACGAUGAAUGCUAGGUGUAGGGGGUAUCGACCCCUUCUGUGCCGAAGUAAACACAAUAAGCAUUCCGCCUGGGGAGUACGGUCGCAAGAUUAAAACUCAAAGGAAUUGACGGGGGCCCGCACAAGCAGCGGAGCAUGUGGUUUAAUUCGAAGCAACGCGAAGAACCUUACCAGGUCUUGACAUCCAUCUAAAGCUGCGGAGACGCAGUGUGAGCAAGCUCGAGAUGAGACAGGUGGUGCAUGGUUGUCGUCAGCUCGUGUCGUGAGAUGUUGGGUUAAGUCCCGCAACGAGCGCAACCCUUGCCGGUAGUUACUAACGGGAAGAGCCGAGGACUUUACCGGGACCGCCGGGGACAACUCGGAGGAAGGUGGGGACGACGUCAAAUCAUCAUGCCCCUUAUGACCUGGGCUACACACGUGCUACAAUGGCCGAGACAGAGGGCAGCGAAGGCGCGAGCCGGAGCGAAUCUCAAAAAAGCGGUCACAGUUCGGAUUGCGGGCUGCAACCCGCCCGCAUGAAGCAGGAGUUGCUAGUAAUCGCGAAUCAGCAUGUCGCGGUGAAUACGUUCCCGGGCCUUGUACACACCGCCCGUCACACCAUGGGAGUUGGUAGCACCCGAAGGCAGAGAGCUAACCGCGAGGGGGCAUCUGACGAAGGUGAGAUCAAUGACUGGGGUGAAGUCGUAACAAGGUAGCCGUAUCGGAAGGUGCGGCUG